GAUUUUCAAAAAUAUUUAUUUCAAAAUAAAAAGGAAACUACUAUUCAAUUUAGUGAAAAGACAAAAUUAUUAUUAUUUUCUUUUUUUGUCAGCAACAAACAAACAGACUCAUAUAGAUUCUGUAAACCAAACUGGUAGCUCCGCACCCAUAUGGACUACAAACGAGGGUUGCUUCCUUGCACAGCGUGCGAGACUAUCUGCCCUUGAAUUUAACGUCCGUGGAAUAUGGAUAAGCUGUGAGCUGUGGAAACUUCCUUGUAGGAUCUUGAUAUCUUCUAGAUAACUUGCAAAUGCUGGCCAUUCAUCGGGUUCAGAAACCAUCUUCACCAACUGAGAACAAUCCGUCGCAAAUGUAACAGUAUAUUGUCUUAAAUUUCUCAUACAUUCCAUUGCCCAAAUGAGCGCCUCUAUCUCCGAGUGAAGGGGUGAUUGACACAUUCUAGUAUUUCUUGCUCCCAAUAAACUAUCAAAACCUUCCAAAGUACUACACCAUCCUUGUCUCGAAAAACUAUCAUUUUCUUUCCAAGAACCAUCCGUAAAACACCAUCUACCAGGAAUAUUUGGUACCGACGCAUUCACAUCCGUAAAAAAAAAAAGACAAAAUUAUUAAAGGAAUCAAUUUGAUAUAUAAAGUACACCUUUGAAAGACCAACAUAAAAUUAACUAACAAAAAAAAUCAUAAAGAAUAAAAGAAUUUCAAAUAAUAAAAACAAAAUGAAUCUAAAGCACUUUUCAUUACAUAUGAAUCUAACAAAAUAUCAUUUCAAAAUGGAAGCUAUUUCUUUCAAAAAAAAUAUCUAUAAUAAAUUUACUAAACAAAAUUGCCAAAUAACUAAAAGAAUCAGUUUAUUAUAAAAAAAUAAUUGUUUGGAAGAUCAACAUAAAAUUAAG
Molecule: long non-coding RNA, 891 nt
Filed under: Brassica rapa (field mustard)
Lineage: Eukaryota; Viridiplantae; Streptophyta; Magnoliopsida; Brassicales; Brassicaceae
Description: long non-coding RNA (BRAP_LNC004818)
Source: RNAcentral